UAUCAUCUGUGAGUACCGAGCAGUCAGCCGUGUGCAUCGAACCUCUCUCCCUUUCUCCUCAUCUCGCGUGCGCCUAUGUCCCGAGCAAUCUCCGCCGCCACUCCACCGUCCUUGGUCCUUGCCGGCAUCCAGCAAUCUCGCUCCGCAUACGACGCUCCGGCGGAAUCCCUUGCCUAACCCGCAUCCACGCGCCUCCAAUCGUGCAGCUUCGGUAGCUCUAGUUGCCGGCCGGUGUCGACAACGACGGGGCCCGGCCUCGUUGUUUUGCUUGACCUCGGCUAUGGCUUUCCGUCGAUCUACCGGCCGUGGAAGGCGCUGAUCGUCCUCGGCAUCUAGCGCAUCGACGGCUCGCCAUCCACGGUCACGGUCUGCCACCGAGGCCCCCGCCGCGCGCGAGCUCCAGCACCUCUGCUCCGCCGCCGUCUUCGCGGGGUCGCCCGACGGAAGGGAGUCCAUCGACGCGGCCGUCAGCGACGCAUCUGAAGACUGGGAGGGACGUGUCUACGUUCUGCAAGAGCUCGCCCCCCAAGAUCCACCGCGACGGCGCCGUUCAGGAGGAGCUCCUCAUCGACAACAAGGAAGAGGGAUUUCGCUCACCAUCUGCAGUCUGCACGCCAAGUCUUCCGGCAUGAUGCCGGCGCGCCAGAAGCAGCCGGAGGCCUCGGAUACAAUAACCAGGGGAGGUACUGGUUGAGCUACACUGGUAGCUUCACCCGCAUGCUGAAGGAUCUGGACAUGCCGAGCGACGUUUCUCUUAAAUAGAUCUACAUGAGUAAUUCAGAAAGAGGCAUGCAGAUCUUUGAGAGCCAUCCUUUGUUGCACAUCAACUCCGUGGCUCUCUCAUUACGUCAAAGGUCUUGUUAUUCUUGACAGGCUGCAUGAGAACACGUGCUCAAACUGUUGCAAAGAGGAAUUGGGAAUUCAGCAAGGGAGGAAGGAAGAAGGUUGUAGUGGUAUUACAACAUUUCAUAGUGUUGGUCAUAUGACAGAAGAUGGUGCUCUUGGUAUAUGUGUAUGCUGAUCAAAAGGGCAUGGGCUCUGUCCUGGCCAUUUCCUCGUACGUGCUUGCCAGGAACAAUGACGCACCCGCUGCUGCCAUGCCAGCCGGUUGAUCCGGUAUAAGAACUUCAAGGAAGGACACAAGAGGAUACUUGUGGCUACAAAUUUAGUUGGCGGCAAAAUUGAUGUUGUCCAUGCUCUGACUCUGAUGUUCUCAAUCAGGUUGUUCGGGAGACAACUUACCCAUGGUGUUGGUGUUGUCUAAAAUUGUGAAGCUCACAUACCGAAGUAACUAGGUCCUAACAAGCGACGCAUCAUACAGUAGAACAUCGUCUAGAGCAUGGAGCUCCUGGAGCUAGGCGAAAGAAGCAGCGCUGCGGCGUGACACAUAUGUCGGUGGCCUGGUAUCCAACCUUUAGGUGGUGGAGUUGUUUGUGUGCAUGGCCAAGAACAGGAGCAUCUGAUUUCCUCCUUCACAUCUGACCUGGCUGGCCUCCCUCAACUUAUCAUUGCACAUCAGCUAAAGUAAGAAGAAGAUGAACAAGACUUGGAAGGAUGAGACAUCACAGCUAGAUCCUUUCUAUGAAUGUUAUACUAUUCCGGUCCUUGUAGUGUGAGUACUAGUUGACAUUUUUAAGCAUCGUUGUUAUUGUAAUGCUUCCAAUCAGGACCUGUAAGUGCUUCCGUUGACAUGUUUAUUUUUGAACUUGAGGUUAUGGUUGGUUAGGCUUAUGAAGGAGUUGGCUAUAGUAUACACCUUAAAUCUAGUUUACUGGAUUGGAUGGAAAUUAACCGGUGGUGGUCUGUUUGGAUUUCGUACAAAGAGGAGGAACAGAAGAGAAGAAUGUUCCAGCCACAGUUGAGAUUUUUGCAAAUGAGUUACAAUGGCUGCUUGUUCGGGCCGUGAGAUUUUCAUUCGAGACGGACUUGCUCUUGAAAUUGAUGGAUGCUACAUGGUGUAGCGAUGUGGGUGAUGGAUGUGUCCUGGAAGUUUCAGGGUAACUACUGUAGAUGUGUAUCGUCAGAUCUACAAGACUAUAUUUUGAUGACUAGCUGAUGUUUUGUUGAGCUAAACACGGCAGUGGCUGCGUAUGGUGUUGGUUCUUGUAGCUAACUAGCUAGCUUUGUUAUAUUUACUUUGUCACAAGUGUGUGUGCGCCCAAUUCUGUUGUAAUUUUGCAUUAGAUUAUCGACAUAAGCUUUGAAAGCAUGAGACGUAUGUAUAACUGGUCCCCUUUGUUUAUGGAAAUUUCAUUUGCCGAUGCUA
Molecule: long non-coding RNA, 2266 nt
Organism: Lolium perenne
Lineage: Eukaryota; Viridiplantae; Streptophyta; Magnoliopsida; Poales; Poaceae
Source: RefSeq, a predicted model, not a curated record